Molecule: ribosomal RNA, 442 nt
Filed under: uncultured bacterium
Lineage: Bacteria
Description: partial 16S ribosomal RNA
Rfam family: Bacterial small subunit ribosomal RNA
Source: RNAcentral
CCUACGGGUGGCUGCAGUGGGGAAUAUUGGGCAAUGGGCGCAAGCCUGACCCAGCAACGCCGCGUGAAGGAAGAAGGCUUUCGGGUUGUAAACUUCUUUUCUGAGGGACGAAGAAGGUGACGGUAACUCAGGAAUAAGCCACGGCUAACUACGGGCCAGCAGCCGCGUUAAUACGGAGGAUGCGAGCGUUAUCCGGAUAUAUGGGGUUAAAUGGGUGCGAUGGCGGAGGUGCAAGUCAGCGCGAAAAUUGCGGGGCUCAACGUCGUACUGCCGUUGAAACUGCGUCCCUUGAGUGCGCGAGAGGGAUGUGGAAUGCGUGGUGUAGCGGUGAAAUGCAUAGAUAUCACGCAGAACUCCGAUGGCGAAGGCAGCAUACCGGCGCGCAACUGACGCUCAUGCACGAAAGCGUGGGUAUCGAACAGGAUUAGAUACCCGAGUAGUC